UACGUAGGGACCAAGCGUUGUCCGGAAUCAUUGGGCGUAAAGAGCGUGUAGGCGGCUUGUUAAGUCUUGCGUGAAAUCUCGGGGCUCAACCCCGAGCGGUCGUGAGAAACUGGCAGGCUAGAGUGCGGGAGAGGAGAGUGGAGUUCCUGGUGUAGCGGUGAAAUGCGCAGAUAUCAGGAAGAACACCCGUGGCGAAGGCGGCUCUCUGGAACGCAACUGACGCUGAGACGCGAAAGCGUGGGGAGCAAACAGG
This 253-nucleotide ribosomal RNA is filed under the name uncultured bacterium. Its description in RNAcentral is "partial 16S ribosomal RNA". It matches the Rfam family "Bacterial small subunit ribosomal RNA", at positions 524 to 776 of the family's 1533-position model. The record is from RNAcentral.